UGCACAGUGGCCUAGUGGUAAGGCGUCUGCACCUCAUGCAGGAAACUAUGGUUCGAUUCCAUACUGUGCAA
RNAcentral lists this transfer RNA (71 nucleotides) under Clostridiales bacterium. RNAcentral describes it as "tRNA-Glu". It matches the Rfam family "tRNA". From Rfam's summary of the family: Transfer RNA (tRNA) molecules are approximately 80 nucleotides in length. The record is from RNAcentral. Lineage: Bacteria; Bacillati; Bacillota; Clostridia; Eubacteriales.